Molecule: ribosomal RNA, 797 nt
Filed under: uncultured bacterium
Lineage: Bacteria
Description: bacterial SSU rRNA
Rfam family: Bacterial small subunit ribosomal RNA
Source: RNAcentral
AUCUUCGGUUAGUGGCGGACGGGUGAGUAACACGUGAGAAUCUGCCUGUUGGUCGGGGAUAACAGUUGGAAACGACUGCUAAUACCGGAUGAGCCGAAAGGUAAAAGAUUUAUUGCCAACAGAAGAGCUCGCGCCUGAUUAGCUAGAUGGUGGGGUAAAAGCCUACCAUGGCGACGAUCAGUAGCUGGUCUGAGAGGAUGAGCAGCCACACUGGGACUGAGACACGGCCCAGACUCCUACGGGAGGCAGCAGUGGGGAAUUUUCCGCAAUGGGCGAAAGCCUGACGGAGCAAUACCGCGUGAGGGAGGAAGGUUCUUGGAUCGUAAACCUCAAAACUUAGGGAAGAAACAAAUGACGGUACCUAAUAUAAGCAUCGGCUAACUCCGUGCCAGCAGCCGCGGUAAUACGGAGGAUGCAAGCGUUAUCCGGAAUCAUUGGGCGUAAAGAGUCUGUAGGUGGCACUUCAAGUCUGCUGUCAAAGACCGAAGCUUAACUUCGGAAAGGCGGUGGAAACUGAAGAGCUAGAGUAAAGCAGGGGUAGAGGGAAUUCCCAGUGUAGCGGUGAAAUGCGUAGAUAUUGGGAAGAACACCGGUGGCGAAAGCGCUCUACUGGACCGUAACUGACACUGAGGGACGAAAGCCAAGGUAGCGAAAGGGAUUAGAUACCCCUGUAGUCUUGGCCGUAAACGAUGGAUACUAGGCGUUGUCUGUAUCGACCCGGACAGUGCCGAAAGCUAACGCGUUAAGUAUCCCGCCUGGGGGAGUACGCACGCAAGUGUGAAACUCAAAGGAAUUGA